AUUGAACGCUGGCGGCAUGCCUUACACAUGCAAGUCGAACGGCAGCACGGGUGCUUGCACCUGGUGGCGAGUGGCGAACGGGUGAGUAAUACAUCGGAACGUACCUUAUCGUGGGGGAUAACGCAGCGAAAGCUGUGCUAAUACCGCAUAAGCCCUGAGGGGGAAAGCGGGGGAUCGAAAGACCUCGCGCGAUUAGAGCGGCCGAUGCCUGAUUAGCUUGUUGGGGGGGUAAAAGCCCACCAAGGCGACGAUCAGUAGCUGGUCUGAGGACGAUCAGCCACACUGGGACUGAGACACGGCCCAGACUCCUACGGGAGGCAGCAGUGGGGAAUUUUGGACAAUGGGGGCAACCCUGAUCCAGCAAUGCCGCGUGAGUGAAGAAGGCCUUCGGGUCGUAAAGCUCUUUUGUCAGGGAAGAAACACCGGCUCUAACACAGUCCGGGAAUGACGGUACCUGAAGAAUAAGCACCGGCUAACUACGUGCCAGCCGCCGCGGUAA
RNAcentral lists this ribosomal RNA (499 nucleotides) under uncultured bacterium. RNAcentral's name for it is "partial 16S ribosomal RNA". It matches the Rfam family "Bacterial small subunit ribosomal RNA", at positions 29 to 523 of the family's 1533-position model. The record is from RNAcentral.